Molecule: unclassified non-coding RNA, 481 nt
Filed under: uncultured Glomus
Lineage: Eukaryota; Fungi; Glomeromycota; Glomeromycetes; Glomerales; Glomeraceae
Description: SSU rRNA
Rfam family: Eukaryotic small subunit ribosomal RNA
Source: RNAcentral
AGCAGCCGCGGUAAUUCCAGCUCCAAUAGCGUAUAUUAAAGUUGUUGCAGUUAAAAAGCUCGUAGUUGAAUUUCGGGGUUAGCAGGUCGGUCGUGCCAUCGGUAUGAACUGGUCUCGCUGAUCCCUCCCUCUUGACGAACUGUGAUGCCAUUAAUUUGGUGUCGCAGGGAAUCAGGACUGUUACUUUGAAAAAAUUAGAGUGUUUAAAGCAGGCUCACGCUUGAAUACAUUAGCAUGGAAUAAUGAAAUAGGACGUUUGAUCCUAUUUUGUUGGCUUCUAGGAUUGACGUAAUGAUUAAUAGGGAUAGUUGGGGGCAUUAGUAUUCAAUUGUCAGAGGUGAAAUUCUUGGAUUUAUUGAAGACUAACUACUGCGAAAGCAUUUGCCAAGGAUGUUUUCAUUAAUCAAGAACGAAAGUUAGGGGAUCGAAGACGAUCAGAUACCGUCGUAGUCUUAACCAUAAACUAUGCCGACUAGGGAUC